This is a long non-coding RNA of Artibeus jamaicensis (Jamaican fruit-eating bat), 3960 nucleotides long. RefSeq lists it as uncharacterized. NCBI's taxonomy places the organism in Eukaryota, Metazoa, Chordata, Mammalia, Chiroptera, Phyllostomidae. The transcript has 3 exons. The record is from RefSeq and is a predicted model, not a curated record.
GGGAAGGUGGGCUGGAGAAGAGAGCUGUCAGCUGGCUCUGGAAGCAGGGCUGUAAGGGGAAGGGGCCCAGGGAGGAGGGGCCUGAAAUAGAUCACCACAUUCAGUAUGGGGAAGCAGAAAUAGAAGCUGGUGACGGGAAAAGGAGGUGCGAGCAGAAGUCAGAGCCGAGGCUGAGAUCUCCCUGGCCCAACCCAGCUGGUCCUCAUCCAACUAACCCCUCUGGGUUGGAGGGGGUCUGGACUCUCUGGAGACCCUCACUGGCCUGUCUGCCACUCGAUCCUGAAGCAGAAGCCAAAAGCAGCCACAAGCCUGGAGACAGCAGCUGGGCCAAGAGCCCCCUGACAGGGGCCAGGCAAUGCAAGCAUUGCAGACCCCUUUGCAGCCCUGCAAGGGAACAGAGGUGAAGCAGAACCACCAGGGAAGGUUCUGAAGAUGAAAGAGGAGGCAAAGGCACUUGCCUCUGGGCCAGAUCAGGAGGAGCUGCUGAGAGAAAAGUCUCUUGGGCCUCGGUAGGUGGUUUCAUCAGCCAAGGCUGGCCUAAGGCUAAACUGUGCACAGUAGCCUCCUUCCUUCCCACUUCUCCCUCCUGCCCCUCAUCUGACACUCUGCCCUGGGAGCACUGGGCAAAGAAGCCAGUGCCAGACGCCUGAAAUCAAGUUCUAGCUGCUUUCUGUCGAGGCUGUGUGAUCAUCAGAAAAUAUCUCAAGCUCUCUGACAUUCUACUUCCCCUUCUGUAAAAAUGGACUGAGAUCUACCUCGUAAGACUGUCAAAAUGAAUGAAUGGGAGAAUGAAGCAUCCCUCGCUGGCGGCUCUUGCCCACAACAGUUGCUGCGUUGCUGAUGCGUGGGCCCUAAUGACAAGUGCCAUUUGUCAAGGACCUCGUGCAUCUUGCUUUAAUGGCCAAUGCCUCCCGCCCUCAGAAGCCGUCACCAGCACACCAGGUACAGCCUCAGGGGCGGGGCCUAGGAGAUCCAGUGGCCCUGAAGUGCCUUCGAAAUCCCUUAGGCAAGAACUCCAAGGCCUCUCCAGCCAGGGGGUCACCAUCUCCCCUCCAAAGCUCCCCUUCUCCACCCCCUGCCACCAGCUCCCCGUCCCUGGUGCUGCACUGGCCCUACGGGGGCCUGCAGGGCCCACACAACUUAAGAGAACUGCAGAUGUCUGCAUGGAUUUGAAGCUACGAAUAAAAAGCCAUGGUUUGUUUUGAAUGGACUGUGGCUCUGGAGAGAAAGCCUGGGGAUGCAAAUCCACCAUGAGCGGGAUCCAGAUGGGAAGCAGAUGUGAGCUGUUGGAAGUCCUUGCUCCAGCGCCUAAGGCCCACCUUGGAGAAUUCCUCCCUUUCCCUGCUGAAAGCUGAAGGGCAAGGCCGUGCUCGGACUCCACGGGAGCCCCAGCUCAGGGCUCGGUCUGCUUGGCUGUCUCCCCUUAUUUUUUUCUUUCCUUUGCAUUUCUCUUCCUCUUGUGUCCCUGUAGGAUGUGCCUGUUCUCCAGGCCUCCCCUCCGUCUCUCUCUGCUUCUGUCUCUCUGCCUCCCAGUCUCUCUCCAUUUUAGUCACUCCAUCUCUUUGUCUUUAUGGCAAUGCCUGUCUUACUCUCUCUUGCUCUCAGACAGUCUCUGACUCCAUGUCUGUUCUGGGUCUCGGGCUCACACUCCCUCCCUCUUCUUGGCUGCUUCCCAAGGCCAGUGCCCUACCCUCCAUGCUUGGAUAAGUCUGCCAAUCAGCUUGAGCUCCUGGGGUGAGGAACAGGAAGAACAGGCCGAGGGCAGACAGCAGCCCCGGUUCCAUGAAGGAAAGCGAGUUUAAGCCAGAGAGGCCCGGCCAGGCCAAGGCCAAGAAUUUCUCACUUCCCCGCAGGGCUGGAUAUUUAGUCUGAGUUGGGGAGGCAGGUGGCACCCAGCCUGGAGUUCCCGAGUCUGCACAAGCAGCUCUGCCCACAACCCCUCCCUAGCUUGAGGUCCCCUUCAGAGUGACAUCUCUCUCUCUCUGAGUCCUAGUCUGGACCCUGCCCAGUCGGGCACCAGGAAGAGGCAGCACAGGUGGGCACCACAGUCAUUGCGUCUCCCGAGCACACAGCCCUUCCCCUUUCAACCCCUGCUGGGCCUCAGGCAGUCUCCAAAGGCUAAAGUGCUUUUUCUUUGGCUUGCAUACAGUUUAUAAGUACUUUACCCAAUUGAUACAGACUCCACAUCCAGUUGUCUUAUUUUCCUUUAUGGGUCCACAAACUUCUGAGCUCUCAGACUGAAACUUGGGGCCAUUUGUGGCACAUUCCAGAGGCCAGUAGGGAUGUCACACUUUAACUUUAAUCUCAUAUACAGGCUGUGAAUACUAUGGCUUUGUGGGGGGGAACUUGAGGAACGCACUAGAACACAUCCCAAAAUAAGCUGCUGUCAUUCCCAGGAGACUGAAUCAUUUAGAGGGCAAUUUCACAAAUGCUUCUGCAGAUGUGAAUGAGAAUGCUGUCAGAAUAUGGCUGGGGUCCGUCUCCUUGGCACUCUCCACGUGUGCUCAGGGCUACCUUCUCCACCCAGCAUGCAUUUAUUCUAGGAUCCAGGGACACCCUCUGGUCCCUGGCACUGGGUUAGCACCUGACACGGGUUAGCACCUGGCAACUGGGUUAGCAUGAGGGAGGAUCACUACAGUGCCACAGCAUGAGGCGUUGUCCCUGGAGGCAAGGCAUUCAGUGUGCUGGCUGAGCCCUUGGGUCUGGAAUCCUUCAGGUGCUGAGCACCUAUUAUGUGCUGACAUUGUGCUAAGCAGUGGGUGGUGAGCAAAGAUAGGGCACAUUAGCUUGUGAAGGAAGCAAACAGGGUGGUGAAACCUGGGGUAAAAGUCAGGGAGGACCUGGGAGAGCACAUUGCGCCUGGAGCUGAUCAUAGCAGCUGUCUCUGAACUUCAGCUGCGUCCCAUGAAAUAGGGGCAACAAGGGCUGUUCUGGGCGUUCGAUGAGAUAAUCGUGUAACCAGUAGUGACAACACCCUUGAGUAAGGCGAUGCAGCUGGGCAGUGAGCAGCCGCAGACGUGGUUGCAGGGCAUGGGUGUAGCAGAUGCUGUCAGUACUCUGUGCACGUCUUCAGGUUCCUGUAUUAUUUCAGGACACCCCUGCCAGCACCUGUCCCCAGCUCUUGGAACCUGCUUUUGGCCUCCUGUGUGGAGAUCAGGGAGGUAUGUGGGGAGUUACUACCCUCAGCCCCCACAGACGGCCCUAACCAACAGCUCCAUGUGUGGGGUAUAAACACCACCAUGUCACCAAGCUUCCAGGAGAUUGAGCCACUUUCCCCCGUGACCUCUUGCUUGGCAUUCCAUCCUUGCUUGAGCUCCUUCUCUUCCAAGUCCCCUCCCCCACUCCUGGGAAGAUGCCCGAGAAAUCAUGUUCCCAUAAUCUUUGUUGCAGGUCCUAUUUCUGAGUAACACAACUUAAGACACUGGAAAAUGCCAAGUAACCAUUAGGAAGCAUCUCCUAAGCUGGGUGGCCCAGUCUUCCUGCCUCUGGUCAAGGCAGGUCCUCCCAAGUUCCUAAGGAAUCAGUCACAGUAGCCUUCUGUCUCUGAGGAAAUCUGUGCUCCCUGUAUUUGAACAUGGCAAUGGCUAUUCCAUGGGAAGCUGGCAGGAUGGUCCCUGGCUUGUUGCUCACAGUCCUCGAUUCAGGAAACCAAGCUGCUGGGCCCAGGCCUCUUGCUGUCCUCCCUCCAGGAACCUGCACAAAGUGCCAAAAGAUGCCAUAAAAUACACACUCAGUUAUGAUUGCCAUCUUCCCCUAUUCUUGGGAACCCCAAAUGGUUAUCCUCAGAUUAAGUCUUUAUUGUCCAUCUUCUCACCUCCCAUCCGAGGAGAAAUGGCAGCCCUCCAUCGGCCGGACUCACAGAGCAGCUGGCAGGGACACCUCCUGAUGCUGGUCUGGAUUAUUUCUCUGGACUUUGUGAUCUUUGUGGUAUUUGCUAGCUCUUUAAGGUUUUGUGACUUG